RNAcentral lists this ribosomal RNA (404 nucleotides) under uncultured microorganism. Its description in RNAcentral is "bacterial SSU rRNA". It matches the Rfam family "Archaeal small subunit ribosomal RNA", at positions 330 to 739 of the family's 1478-position model. The record is from RNAcentral.
GCGCACCAGGCGCGAAUACUUUACAAUGUGCGAAAGCACGAUAAGGGAACUCUGAGUGCCUCCUAAGGAGGCUGUUCAGGUGUCUAAAAAGCACCUGGAGUAAGGGCUGGGUAAGACCGGUGCCAGCCGCCGCGGUAACACCGGCAGCCCAGGUGGUAGCCACUUUUAUUGGGUCUAAAGCGUCCGUAGCCGGUUGAGUAAGUUCCUUGGGAAAUUUGGCUGCUCAACAGUCAAGCUUCCAGGGAAUACUGCUCGACUUGGGACUGGGAGAGGUCAGAGGUACUCCAGGGGUAGGGGUGAAAUCCAUUAAUCCCUGGGGGACCACCGGUAGCGAAGGCGUCUGACCAGACCAGGUCCGACGGUGAGGGACGAAGGCUAGGGGCGCGAACCGGAUUAGAUACCCG